RNAcentral lists this ribosomal RNA (204 nucleotides) under uncultured bacterium. Its description in RNAcentral is "partial 16S ribosomal RNA". It matches the Rfam family "Bacterial small subunit ribosomal RNA", at positions 568 to 774 of the family's 1533-position model. The record is from RNAcentral.
AGCGCAGGUGGUUGUAUAAGUCUGAAGUAAAAGGCAGUGGCUCAACCAUUGUGUGCUUUGGAAACUGUACAACUUGAGUGCAGAAGGGGAGAGUGGAAUUCCAUGUGUAGCGGUGAAAUGCGUAGAUAUAUGGAGGAACACCGGUGGCGAAAGCGGCUCUCUGGUCUGUAACUGACACUGAGGCUGAAAGCUGGGGAGCAAACA